Long non-coding RNA from Gasterosteus aculeatus aculeatus (three-spined stickleback), 1133 nucleotides. The record is from Ensembl. Lineage: Eukaryota; Metazoa; Chordata; Actinopteri; Perciformes; Gasterosteidae.
CGGGUAACCACGGCAACCGCGUCCGCGCCGCAGGUGACCGUCGGCUGCUUUUCCUGCUGGCGCUCCUCCGCACCGCUUCCCCCCGCGGCCUGCUGGGAGAAAUCCGCAGAUGAUAAAAGAGCCUCGUGGGCGCCGGGGGGGGGGGGGUCUGAAUGCGUACCUGGACUAAUAGUAUUGUGGUGUGUACCACUAGGGAGAAGAAGUACUCCACAGGCCUGAUUGUGUCCUGAUACUGUGCUGAUGAACCACCUGAGACGAGGAACUACAACAUCAGCUUCUAGAUCUGCGAUGCUGAACAUGAGGAUGGACGGCGCUGCGGAUGCUGGAUUCGAGGCAGAUGAAGCUGAUGUGAAAUGUAAGAUGUCAUCCAUCCAUCUAUGAAUCCCGCAGGCUCCUUCUCCACUGGGCUCCUUCACAUGGAUAAAGUGCCCCAUCUGACCACAAAGACCACAAUGAAACACGUGUUGCCAUGCAACAGGGGAACUGAAAGGAAGCUCAGGACACGAGAGUCCAGUUUGAAGUUGAAGGCUCCUCAAACGCACAAAUACUCCUUUCAAAUAUGAAAUAAUCCAGUCAUGCAAGUCGGUGCUGGAGGUCGUGAGGCGUUUUACAACACUUCCUGAAAAGAAGAAACAUUAAUUAAUGUUAGAAACUGACCUAAAUCCAUCAUUGAUUUUCUGGGGAUGAGAUUCAUCCCAUCAGGAGCUCAUCACGUCUCCUCACUGAUUCAAUAACGUCUCCUCGUCGGUUCAGUCAAACGUUUCAUUUGUUUUCUGUUCAGGGCUGGAAAAAACAUUCGCUCUUUCACUCCGUUCUAGAGGAUGCAGGUGUCAAUCAGCGUGUAGUCCCGCCCUAAAGCGUCCCCCGCUCUAUGGUCUGUUUGACUCUAAAUGGACCUUAAUUCACUGAAUGAACAUCAUGUUGUGUUGAAGAAGACUUGAAACUAGAGACUGAGACCAUAAACUCAUGUUUACAAUGUUUACUGAGGGAAUAAAUCCAGAGAGAAGUAGAGUCAUUUCCUCAUAGACGUCUAUGGGAGCAGAGGAGUCGCCCCCUGCUGGUCACUACAGAGAAGUAGAGUCAUUUCCUCAUAGACGUCUAUGGGAGCAGAGGAGUCGCCCCCUGCUGGUCAC